GGAAUGCAGCUCAGUGGUAGACCACUUGCCUAGCACGUUUGAGGCCCUGGUUCAAUCCCAAGCACCA
This 67-nucleotide transfer RNA is filed under the name Marmota monax (woodchuck). Its description in RNAcentral is "tRNA.Ala". Lineage: Eukaryota; Metazoa; Chordata; Mammalia; Rodentia; Sciuridae. The record is from RNAcentral.